This 464-nucleotide ribosomal RNA is filed under the name uncultured bacterium. Its description in RNAcentral is "bacterial SSU rRNA". It matches the Rfam family "Bacterial small subunit ribosomal RNA", at positions 29 to 506 of the family's 1533-position model. The record is from RNAcentral.
ACGAACGUUGGCGGCGUGCCUAAUACAUGCAAGUCGCGCGAGAAAACCGGGGCAACUCGGUGAGUACAGCGGCGGAAGGGUGCGUAACACAUGGAUAACGUACCCUCCAGUUGGGGAUAACCCACCGAAAGGUGGGCUAAUACCGAAUAAUGGCAGAAGGCGGCAUCGUUUUCUGCUUAAUGACGCAAGUCGCUGGAGGAGCGGUUCAUGGCCUAUCAGCUAGUUGGCGGGGUAACGGCCCACCAAGGCAUUGACGGGUAGCCGGACUGAGAGGUUGACCGGCCACACGGGAACUGAGACACGGUCCCGACAUCUACGGAUGGCAGCAGUAGGGAAUCUUGCGCAAUGGGCGAAAGCCUGACGCAGCGACGCCGCGUGGGGGAUGAAGGCCUUCGGGUUGUAAACCCCUUUCAUAAGGGAAAAACACUGAUCUAACCUUAGGAAGAAGCACCGGCUAACUCCGU